Molecule: ribosomal RNA, 494 nt
Filed under: uncultured bacterium
Lineage: Bacteria
Description: bacterial SSU rRNA
Rfam family: Bacterial small subunit ribosomal RNA
Source: RNAcentral
AUUGAACGCUGGCGGCAUGCCUAACACAUGCAAGUCGAACGGGGGUAGCGAUACCCUAGUGGCGGACGGGUGAGGAACGCGUAGGAAUUGGCCCACGAGUGGGGGACAACCUGGGGAAACCCAGGCUAAUACCGCAUACGCUCGCGAGAGGAAAGCGGGGGAUCUACGGACCUCGCGCUGGUGGACAAGCCUACGUCCGAUUAGCUAGUUGGCAGGGUAAAAGCCUACCAAGGCGACGAUCGGUAGCUGGUCUGAGAGGAUGAUCAGCCACACUGGGACUGAGACACGGCCCAGACUCCUACGGGAGGCAGCAGUGGGGAAUAUUGGACAAUGGGCGCAAGCCUGAUCCAGCAAUGCCGCGUGGGGUGAAGACGGCCUGCGGGUUGUAAAGCCCUUUAAGCGGGGAGGAACGCCGGAACGCGAAUACCGUUUCGGACUGACGUUACCCGCAGAAUAAGCACCGGCUAAACUCCGUGCCCAGCAGCCGCGGUAAU